GAGAGCUUCUGGCUAAGCAGGAGGAGUUUUGAGGGGAGCGGUGCUCGGAGAGGGCAUGGAUGGUCUGCAUCUUUUCCCCCUACUUGCCCUAUGUGUCUCUUCUAUCCAGCUGUUCCUGAGUUACAUAAUAAGUCAAAAUCUGAAUAUUCAUCCAGUACAAAGAGCUGCAACAACAGGCAGGUCAAGUAAAAGCAGAAACUUUCUUAGGAACUAGAAGCAUGAAGGGCUGCGUGGGAGAUACAAGCAAACUCAGGAGCUAUCAAACAUCCUCUCUAUCAGGCGCUGGAAGGCCAUUCCUGUGGGGAUGAAGAAUCAAAAGCACUCUACAUACCUAACACAACUAACAUGCCUUGAGGAAACAGGUGCUCAAUAAACCUUCAUGGCUUUUCCUUAUUUUUAGUUUUAUGCCAGAUACUACUCUAUGCCCGAUACUGUCCCUAAGGGUUUUGUAUGCAUUACCUCAUUUGAUCAACCAACAAAGGCUCAGAGAUUAAGUCCUUUUAAACUUGGGACACAACAGGUUAAGGAGUGUGGGGAGGUGAGAACUCAAAUACAUGUCAGUCCCACCGCAGGGCUACUGUUACUCCCGCCUCCCCCUCCCCCCCCCCCCCCCAGCAGAGCAUCCAGCAAUACGGACAGUCCCCUAUUCUGGGCACACAGGACAAUGGCCGCCCUGGCCGCCACUAGCAUUUCCGGAAGAUGGCGGCUGCUCCCGGCUCACGGCCUGAGCUAGUGCGUCACCGCCGGCCAGGGGAAGCCGGAAGUGACACUAUACCGUUUUUUGUAGAAAACGACGGGCAGAGAGGAUAGAAGGGAGAAAGGAAAUCAAAUAAGGUCCCCAAUACCGAAAAAGCUAAAGCCCUGGAUCCCAGGUGCCGCAGAAAGCGCUGGGCGGAAGCGGUCCUGGCAGAGGCAAUCUAACACCGCCCGGGCGCUCGUCCGCGGCGGAAGUGCGUUUCUGGCGUUCCUCCGAGAUGGCGUGGGCAGGAAAGCAGCGGCGCUUCUUCGCCGACUCUUUUCGCUCCUCGGUCCUCGCAGUACUAGAGGCCGUAGGCCGGCUGGGCCCUCGGGACUUCUAGCCCCGGAGAGAAAGAACCGCUUACCGGGAGACCCCAGGGUGAGGCGCCGACAGACACGGCGCGCCGGCCCCUCCCUCGCCGGGAGGGCGGCGCCCCGUGACGCAGCAAGCUGUCGCGACACGAACGCCGGUCCGGACUCGCUUGGGCCAGCGGCCAAGCCACGAGUGUGCAUCUACUGGCAGCCACCCACAACUCGCUCUUCCAGACGCGAGGCAAAUGUCUGGACGGCUUGGUAGAAUUCACGAGAGCAAAAAAACCCACCCCACCGAGAGCGCGAGAGAGGUCUCAAGAGUUCUCAAGUGUAAAGUGGGUGGUGGGCCCUUAAGAGGAUCUUAGG
This is a long non-coding RNA of Felis catus (domestic cat), 1416 nucleotides long. RefSeq lists it as uncharacterized. NCBI's taxonomy places the organism in Eukaryota, Metazoa, Chordata, Mammalia, Carnivora, Felidae. The transcript is spliced from 2 exons. The record is from RefSeq and is a predicted model, not a curated record.